UUUGGAGUGAGCUCGCCGCCCUGCUGAACACAGAGGGCCUGGCCGCCAAGACAGCCGAACAGUGGCAGGUGUUUUGGCGGAAGGAAGUAUUUCUUUCCCGCCGAGGUGCCGCCGCAGCUUCCGCAAGGUAAAGCGGCACGGGUGGUGGCCGUCUGCCCGGCCUUCGUGGCCGUGUCAUCGCCUUAGUGGGCACCUCCACGGUGACCGGAGUGUGCGAGGCCUUCUACCAACCGCUCGACGAGCCCGCCAUGGAGGUGACCGUACAAUCUGUGGGCACCACCGCUGGAACAAGUGGCCUUUCAC
Molecule: non-coding RNA, 303 nt
Organism: Dermacentor albipictus
Lineage: Eukaryota; Metazoa; Arthropoda; Arachnida; Ixodida; Ixodidae
Source: RefSeq, a predicted model, not a curated record